CGUGAGUGAUGAAGGCCUUCGGGUUGUAAAGCACUUUAGGUUGGGAAGAAAAAACUCGGGCUAAUACCUUGAGUCUUGACGGUACCGACAGAAUAAGCACCGGCUAACUCUGUGCCAGCAGCCGCGGUAAUACAGAGGGUGCAAGCGUUAAUCGGAUUUACUGGGCGUAAAGCGUGCGUAGGCGGUUAGUUAAGUCGAUUGUGAAAGCCCCGGGCUUAACCUGGGAAU
Molecule: ribosomal RNA, 228 nt
Filed under: uncultured bacterium
Lineage: Bacteria
Description: partial 16S ribosomal RNA
Rfam family: Bacterial small subunit ribosomal RNA
Source: RNAcentral